CAGCCGCCGCGGUAAUACGAAGGGUGCAAGCGUUACUCGGAAUUACUGGGCGUAAAGCGUGCGUAGGUGGUGGUUUAAGUCCGUUGUGAAAGCCCUGGGCUCAACCUGGGAAUUGCAGUGGAUACUGGACGGCUAGAGUGUGUCAGAGGAUGGUGGAAUUCCCGGUGUAGCGGUGAAAUGCGUAGAGAUCGGGAGGAACAUCAGUGGCGAAGGCGGCCAUCUGGGACAACACUGACGCUGAAGCACGAAAGCGUGGGGAGCAAACAGGAUUAGAUACCCCCGUAGUCCCUGUCUCUUAUAC
This 301-nucleotide ribosomal RNA is filed under the name uncultured bacterium. RNAcentral describes it as "partial 16S ribosomal RNA". It matches the Rfam family "Bacterial small subunit ribosomal RNA", at positions 509 to 807 of the family's 1533-position model. The record is from RNAcentral.